This 1281-nucleotide long non-coding RNA is filed under the name Mus caroli (Ryukyu mouse). RNAcentral describes it as "predicted gene 42682 (MGP_CAROLIEiJ_G0005695.1)". The record is from RNAcentral. Lineage: Eukaryota; Metazoa; Chordata; Mammalia; Rodentia; Muridae.
GAGUAGUGGGCGGUGGCCUUUGUUCUUUGGAAAGAAGCUUUGGGGAACCUGUGGCCUCUAGGACUUUAAGAACAUGGGAACCUGAAAGGCAAGGAGAACAAGAAGCCCAGACAAGAGACGGAGCAUGAACUGAAGAUGUAGACUCCUCCUAAGGCGGUGCCUCCUAAGGCGGUGGCUCGCAGCCUUCCUGAUGCUGUGACCCUCUAAUACAGUUCCUCAUGGUGUGGUGACCCCCAACCAUAAAAUUAUUUUAUUGCUACUUUAUGACUUUAAUUUUGCUAUCUUUAUGAAUUGUAAUGUAAAUUUCUACAUCUUCCCAUGGUCUUCUGCAACCCUGUGAAAGGGGUUGAGUCUCUAUUCAAAGGCUGAGAACCCAUGUCCUAAGGGUUGAGACAAGCCUGUGAAGCUGGUAACAGGGGCCCAGGACCACCGCUCUAGGACAGUUCAGCAAUGUGAAUAAGAAGGAAACUUAGCCUCUACAACCCUGAAAACCUCAUGUGGCCCGUAGCUCUCAGUAGGCUGAUGAAACCCUUCCUCUUCCUCUUCCUCAGCCCUGAUGGGACUCCAGUCUCUGGAGACCUGCUGUAAAAAGCCUGAGAGUGUCAAGGCACCUAAGGUGAAUUCAGCUCCCACCACGACCUGCUCAGAGGAGGCCAGGAAGGCUGGGAGUGGCCCUAACAACAGCACCCACUACCCGAAGGCCCAAGUUCUCAGAAAUUAGAAAGCAUUGCGUGCUAAACCACGUUGAUUGCUCCAUAAACCGACUCCCUUAAUGCAUAAACAGCAGUGUGAACUGAGCACUGAUGGCUACCGAUCUUGGACCCACUCGCGUGGACAGUCAAUGUCUUGUUGAGGAGAUGCGAGAAAAGCACUCCCAGACAAUGAGUUCUUGAGUUCAUGAGAUACACGGCAACUUGUCAAGUCCUUGCAAUGCUUCUUUCUGACAGCAGGGGGAGCCAACACCUGGUAAACGCCCGGGCACACUAAACCUUGUCGGUGCAGAAAAAACUGCCAAAGAAACAACCAGGAAAUGAUACCUUGGAAAGAACUGAAACCCAAACAAGCUAGAGAUGGAGGCAGCUCAGGCCCAGGUUUUGUAGGUGUUGCGGCCAAGAUUAUCGAUCCCCCGAGUAAAGCAAAUGUCAGCUGGGGAAGUCCAGGCUGGCCUUUAGGGUGACUGUUGCUCUGUAUCUUACUCUAGCACCACAGACAAACACAAUCUAUUUCCUCUUUCUUUCCGUGUCUGAGCUCACUCAGGUCAGGGCUAGGCCAAGCUCAGAA